GCGGGUAUAGCUCAGUGGUAGACUGCAUUCCUACCAUGUAGGAGGUCCUGGGUUCAAUUCCCAGUACCUCCA
Camelus ferus (Wild Bactrian camel) is the source of this 72-nucleotide transfer RNA. It matches the Rfam family "tRNA". Rfam says of the family: Transfer RNA (tRNA) molecules are approximately 80 nucleotides in length. NCBI's taxonomy places the organism in Eukaryota, Metazoa, Chordata, Mammalia, Artiodactyla, Camelidae. The record is from Rfam.